UGCUCUAAAUCUCCCACUCUUCUUCUUCCUCUUUUUAUUUCUCUCUCUCUCUCUCUCUCACAGAAUGCCAAGCGGAAGGGAUGACAGAGCCCCAAAGGACAAGCCGCCACCCUUGACUAUCAAACCACCUCCCGUCGAACAACAACCUCCACCGCCUCGACCGCCUUCAGGGUGAUGAACUCCCUCUACGACGAAGACCACGCCUUCUUCGACUCCGCCACGUACCACCUCCUGCUCCAUUAAGUCUUCCGAUCUCUCCACCACAGAAACGGAAAACGACACAGACACCGCCGCCGCCGCCGCCGUCUUCGCCUCCCAUCUCUUCUUCUUCUCCACGCGCCCUUCAAGCACAACAGCGUGGCGGUGUUAAAUAAUGAGUUGUUCUUUAGUUAAUCAGUACUUGGUUAAUUAGAGCCUUAAUGUUGUCCUAAUUAGUUUCCUUAGCUAAUGCUCUGUCAGGAGAUGGUGGAGGCGCGUGAGCACCAGACGGAGGACGAGAGCGUGAAGGUCAAAUCUAACUGGGAGUUCCUGCAUGAGCUGCUCCUGUGUUAUCUCGCGCUCAACCCUAAGAGCACUCACAAGUUCAUCAUCGGCGCAUUUUCCGAUCUCCUCGUCAGUCUCCUCCCCUCACCCAAAGAUCCCGAGUUCACCGCCGGCGUCUGCGAGAUUUCCCGGUGCAGUUAA
This is an RNA transcript of Fragaria vesca subsp. vesca, 684 nucleotides long. RefSeq lists it as uncharacterized. The transcript is spliced from 3 exons. The record is from RefSeq and is a predicted model, not a curated record. NCBI's taxonomy places the organism in Eukaryota, Viridiplantae, Streptophyta, Magnoliopsida, Rosales, Rosaceae.